AAUUACUUUUGUUCACAUAUCUGCUCAUGAUUUCAUCAGUUAUAUUGGACUGGUCAAAAAGUUCAUUUGGGUUCUCAUAGUAUCUUAUGGGAGAAGCACGGCGGCUGCGACAGACCACACAGAAGGUCGGGGUGGCGACCGGAAGCGCCAGGCUGAGACUCUGCAGGAGCGGCCAAAAGGAGCUAUCCCAAGUCCGAGGUCAGGGGCAGCAGCUGAAAGGAGCUACCCCACAUCUGAGGUCAGAAGCAGCGGCCAAGAGGAGCAACCCCAUGUCCAAGGAACAGCAGCUGCGUGGGCAUAGAAGAGCUGAGAGGAGCUACUCCACUUUCAAGGUCAGGAGAGGCAACUCAUACAAGCCAUUUCCGACUGUUUGUGACCCCAUGGACUGUCACCUGCCAAGCUCCUCUGUACAUGGAAUUUUCUAGACAAGACUACUGGAUCGGGUUGCCAUUCCCUUCUUUGGGGGUCUUCUUGACCCAGGGAUUGAACACAGGUCUCCUGCAUUGCAGACAAAUGCUUUACUUCUCAGACACCAAGGAAGCCUCACUUCAACUUGCAGCCCCUAGAUAAUAAAGUCUCUCAAUCUAGGAGUCUAGUCACAUGGGAAGGACAAAAAAAAGGGAGGUAGAGGGGACUCUUGAUUGAAUACCUCUAUAAGUUUAUGUUAUAUUUUCAUUUCCUUGAGAGUCUUUUAAAAUUACGCACUAAAAGCACAUAUAAAGGGAAAUUGG
Molecule: long non-coding RNA, 731 nt
Filed under: Ovis aries (sheep)
Lineage: Eukaryota; Metazoa; Chordata; Mammalia; Artiodactyla; Bovidae
Description: lncRNA (ENSOARG00000026303.1)
Source: RNAcentral